This 78-nucleotide transfer RNA is filed under the name Acholeplasmataceae bacterium. RNAcentral describes it as "tRNA-Pro". It matches the Rfam family "tRNA". From Rfam's summary of the family: Transfer RNA (tRNA) molecules are approximately 80 nucleotides in length. Their secondary structure includes four short double-helical elements and three loops (D, anti-codon, and T loops). Further hydrogen bonds mediate the characteristic L-shaped molecular structure. tRNAs have two regions of fundamental functional importance: the anti-codon, which is responsible for specific mRNA codon recognition, and the 3' end, to which the tRNAs corresponding amino acid is attached (by aminoacyl-tRNA synthetases). tRNAs cope with the degeneracy of the genetic code in two manners: having more than one tRNA (with a specific anti-codon) for a particular amino acid; and 'wobble' base-pairing, i.e. permitting non-standard base-pairing at the 3rd anti-codon position. The record is from RNAcentral. Lineage: Bacteria; Bacillati; Mycoplasmatota; Mollicutes; Acholeplasmatales; Acholeplasmataceae. RNAcentral also lists the same sequence under 1 other name.
CGGGAUGUAGCUCAGCUUGGUUAGAGCGUUUGCUUCGGGAGCAAAAGGCCGUGCGUUCAAAUCGCAUCAUCCCGACCA